UUCCCUAGUACGGCGAGUGAGCGGGAAGAGCUCAAAUUUGAAAUCUGGUGGCCUCAGGUCAUCCGAGUUGUAAUCUAUAGAAGUGUUUUCCGUGCUGGCUCAUGUACAAGUCCCUUGGAACAGGGCGUCAUAGAGGGUGAGAAUCCCGUCCUUGACAUGAACUACCAGUGCUCUGUGAUACAUUUUCAACGAGUCGAGUUGUUUGGGAAUGCAGCUCAAAAUGGGUGGUAAAUUCCAUCUAAAGCUAAAUAUUGGCGAGAGACCGAUAGCGAACAAGUACCGUGAGGGAAAGAUGAAAAGCACUUUGGAAAGAGAGUUAAACAGUAUGUGAAAUUGUUGAAAGGGAAACGAUUGAAGUCAGUCGUGCUCUUUGGAUUCAGCCGGUUCUGCCGGUGUACUUCCUUUGAGUGGGGUCAACAUCAGUUUUGAUCGCUGGAUAAAGGCUGGAGGAACGUAGUACCCUCGGGUAAACUUAUAGCCUCCUGUCACAUACAGUGGUUGGGACUGAGGAACGCAGCACGCCUUUAUGGCCGGGAUUCGUCCACGUACGUGCUUAGGAUGUUGACAUAAUGGCUUUAAACGACCCGUCUUGAAACACGGACCAU
RNAcentral lists this ribosomal RNA (605 nucleotides) under Filobasidium magnum. RNAcentral describes it as "eukaryotic LSU rRNA". It matches the Rfam family "Eukaryotic large subunit ribosomal RNA", at positions 76 to 669 of the family's 3401-position model. The record is from RNAcentral. Lineage: Eukaryota; Fungi; Basidiomycota; Tremellomycetes; Filobasidiales; Filobasidiaceae.